CCUACGGGCGGCAGCAGUGAGGAAUAUUGGUCAAUGGACGAGAGUCUGAACCAGCCAAGUAGCGUGAAGGAUGACUGCCCUAUGGGUUGUAAACUUCUUUUAUAUGGGAAUAAAACGUUCCACGUGUGGGAUUUUGUCUGUACCAUAUGAAUAAGGAUCGGCUAACUCCGUGCCAGCAGCCGCGGUAAUACGGAGGAUCCGAGCGUGAUCCGGAUUUAUUGGGUUUAAAGGGAGCGUAGGUGGAUUGUUAAGUCAGUUGUGAAAGUUUGCGGCUCAACCGUAAAAUUGCAGUUGAAACUGGCAGUCUUGAGUGCAGGAGAGGUGGGCGGAAUUCGUGGUGUAGCGGUGAAAUGCUUAGAUAUCACGAAGAACUCCGAUUGCGAAGGCAGUUCACUGGACUGCAACUGACACUGAGGCUCGAAAGUGUGGGUAUCAAACAGGAUUAGAUACCCUUGUAGUC
Molecule: ribosomal RNA, 460 nt
Filed under: uncultured bacterium
Lineage: Bacteria
Description: partial 16S ribosomal RNA
Rfam family: Bacterial small subunit ribosomal RNA
Source: RNAcentral